This 75-nucleotide transfer RNA is filed under the name Alphaproteobacteria bacterium. RNAcentral describes it as "tRNA-Thr". It matches the Rfam family "tRNA". From Rfam's summary of the family: Transfer RNA (tRNA) molecules are approximately 80 nucleotides in length. Lineage: Bacteria; Pseudomonadati; Pseudomonadota; Alphaproteobacteria. The record is from RNAcentral.
GCCGUCGUAGCUCAGGGGUAGAGCAUCGCAUUCGUAAUGCGAGGGUCGGAGGUUCAAAUCCUCUCGACGGCACCA